GACGAACCGUCCAAACGUUGUUCGGAAUCACUGGGCUUAAAGGGCGCGUAGGCGGACUGCCAAGUCCGGGGUGAAAUCUUUCGGCUUAACCGGAAAAGGGCCUUGGAAACUGGCGGUCUCGAGGGAGGUAGGGGCCUGUGGAACUUCGGGUGGAGCGGUGAAAUGCGUAGAGAUGUGGAGGAACACCGAUGGCGAAGGCAGCCCCCUGGGUCAACACUGACGCUCAUGCACGAAAGCGUGGGGAGCAAACAGG
Molecule: ribosomal RNA, 253 nt
Filed under: uncultured bacterium
Lineage: Bacteria
Description: partial 16S ribosomal RNA
Rfam family: Bacterial small subunit ribosomal RNA
Source: RNAcentral